Molecule: ribosomal RNA, 525 nt
Filed under: Suncus infinitesimus
Lineage: Eukaryota; Metazoa; Chordata; Mammalia; Eulipotyphla; Soricidae
Description: partial 16S ribosomal RNA
Rfam family: Bacterial large subunit ribosomal RNA
Source: RNAcentral
CAUNNCAAGUAUUAGAGGCACUGCCUGCCCAGUGACAUUAGUUUAACGGCCGCGGUAUCCUGACCGUGCAAAGGUAGCAUAAUCAUUUGUUCCUUAAUUAGGGACUUGUAUGAAUGGCCCCACGAGGGUUUGACUGUCUCUUACUUUUAAUCAGUGAAAUUGACCUUCCCGUGAAGAGGCGGGAAUAAAAUAAUAAGACGAGAAGACCCUAUGGAGCUUUAAUUAAUUUGUCUAUUAUACUUAAAAUUCAACUCAACAGAAACAAAAUUACGUUAACUAGACAAUAAAUUUUGGUUGGGGUGACCUCGGAGAAUAGCUCAACCUCCGAGCGACUAAAACUAAGACUAACCCGUCAAAGUGGUUUUUAAUAUUGAUCCAAUCAUAUUGAUCAACGGAACAAGUUACCCUAGGGAUAACAGCGCAAUCCUAUUUAAGAGUCCAUAUCGACAAUAGGGUUUACGACCUCGAUGUUGGAUCAGGACACCCAGAUGGUGCAGAAGCUAUUAAAGGUUCGUUUGUUCAACG